Molecule: long non-coding RNA, 344 nt
Organism: Populus euphratica (Euphrates poplar)
Lineage: Eukaryota; Viridiplantae; Streptophyta; Magnoliopsida; Malpighiales; Salicaceae
Exons: 2
Source: RefSeq, a predicted model, not a curated record
UCUGUUCCUCAAUUGACAUUUUAUAUCACUUAAAAAAGUAAUCAACUCUGAAAACUAUUGACUAUGGAAAACCUGCUGCAAGAAGGAAUUCUUAUGUCCUCUCAUUUUAGUGGUUGUUUUUGGUGAUUUCUUCUUGACCAUACAAGUGCAACGAAAGGAUUCUGGAGAUUAACUGUUUUGGUGUAGAAGACUCCAUGGCAAUGCCUAUGUGAUGCUAAAAUUGUCCAUGCUGGAGUUAUUUUUCAAAUAUUACUCUUAUAAGUUUUAGCUACAUAGCAACAUGAAAAGACUAUGAUUUGGGUAACUGUAACUGUGCACAUGCGAAUGCUGUUUGCACUGUUUUA